AAGCAACACUCUGUGGCAGAUGAUUGAAACUGUCUGACACAAUUUGAGCUUGCUAUAGCAAGAAAGUCUCCUCUAUUCGGUGCUCUCUCCUUUAUGAGACAAGCUGUUAUAUAGACUUAAACAGU
RNAcentral lists this small nucleolar RNA (125 nucleotides) under Castor canadensis (American beaver). RNAcentral's name for it is "Small nucleolar RNA SNORA28 (ENSCCNG00000019531.1)". It matches the Rfam family "Small nucleolar RNA SNORA28". Rfam says of the family: ACA28 is a member of the H/ACA class of snoRNA that guide the sites of modification of uridines to pseudouridines. Lineage: Eukaryota; Metazoa; Chordata; Mammalia; Rodentia; Castoridae. The record is from Rfam by way of RNAcentral.